GGGGAAGCGAGGAAGGCAAUAGAAAGAGUAGAAUUAGAGGAAUUGUAGGAGAAGUGAAGGUAGGAAGUGAGCGUAGGAAGGUCUACACAGUGAGCAUACAAAUCGUUGCCGGUGAAUUUCGGAGAUGAGCAGGUCUGAGAGAGAGCAGGUGAUGUUAGAGAAACCCAAAAACAAAGACCAAAAAUCAAAGCAGUGAAGCUAAGGGAAGCCAUUUUUGAGAGCUUUCAGUAUUAGAGAGCUGAAGAAACUGGACGCUAAAUCUUUGGAAGAAUUUAAAGACAAAAUGAAAGAAGCAGACACUGAGAGCUA
RNAcentral lists this unclassified non-coding RNA (309 nucleotides) under Hevea brasiliensis (rubber tree). The record is from RNAcentral. Lineage: Eukaryota; Viridiplantae; Streptophyta; Magnoliopsida; Malpighiales; Euphorbiaceae.